GUUGAACGCUGGCGGAAUGCUUUACACAUGCAAGUCGAACGGCAGCACGGACUUCGGUCUGGUGGCGAGUGGCGAACGGGUGAGUAAUGUAUCGGAACGUGCCCAGUCGUGGGGGAUAACGUAGUGAAAAUUACGCUAAUACCGCAUACGAUCUAUGGAUGAAAGCGGGGGAUCGCAAGACCUCGCGCGAUUGGAGCGGCCGAUAUCAGAUUAGGUAGUUGGUGGGGUAAAGGCCCACCAAGCCAACGAUCUGUAGCUGGUCUGAGAGGACGACCAGCCACACUGGAACUGAGACACGGUCCAGACUCCUACGGGAGGCAGCAGUGGGGAAUUUUGGACAAUGGGCGAAAGCCUGAUCCAGCCAUUCCGCGUGCAGGAUGAAGGCCCUCGGGUUGUAAACUGCCUUUGUACAGAACGAAAAGGUUUCUACUAAUACUAGGAGCUCAUGACGGUACUGUAAGAAUAAGCACCGGCUAACUACGUGCCAGCCGCCGCGGUAA
Molecule: ribosomal RNA, 500 nt
Filed under: uncultured bacterium
Lineage: Bacteria
Description: partial 16S ribosomal RNA
Rfam family: Bacterial small subunit ribosomal RNA
Source: RNAcentral